UAAGGAAUAUUGGUCAAUGGACGCAAGUCUGAACCAGCCAUGCCGCGUGAAGGAUGAAGGUCCUCUGGAUUGUAAACUUCUUUUAUCUGGGACGAAAACGGGAUUUUUAUCUCAAUUGACGGUACCAGAGGAAUAAGCACCGGCUAACUCCGUGCCAGCAGCCGCGGUAAUACGGAGGGUGCGAGCGUUAUCCGGAUUUACUGGGUUUAAAGGGUGCGUAGGUGGGCUUAUAAGUCAGUGGUGAAAUCUCCGAGCUUAACUUGGAAACUGCCGUUGAUACUAUAGGUCUUGAAUUAUCUGGAGGUAAGCGGAAUAUGUCAUGUAGCGGUGAAAUGCUUAGAUAUGACAUAGAACACCAAUUGCGAAGGCAGCUUACUACAUAUAAAUUGACGCUGAGGCAUGAAAGCGUGGG
RNAcentral lists this ribosomal RNA (412 nucleotides) under uncultured bacterium. Its description in RNAcentral is "bacterial SSU rRNA". It matches the Rfam family "Bacterial small subunit ribosomal RNA", at positions 355 to 765 of the family's 1533-position model. The record is from RNAcentral.